GCGAAAACGGUUUUGUCUAUCGAUACAAAAUCCAUAACAUUUUGUCAGCACAGUCUGAAGAUCAUCUGAUUCAAUUUUGGUGAAAAUCGGACCAACGGUUGAUGAGGAGUUCGAAAAAGUAGGUUUUCAACAUAAAUCAAAAUGGCGGACAGGAAGUUCAGCGUACUCUGGCAUAUUUGGUAUCUAUGUUGUCGGCCUAAGCCAAGGAAUAUUUUGAGACCAGUUUCAUUGCAAUAGGCUAAUGCAUUAAAAAGUUAUUAGCAUUUUUAUAAAUGUAAUUAUUAAUGGUUAAUGAAUGAUUUAUUAGUCUUGACCAAUAGGUGGCGCUGUUACCAAAUUGAUGUGGCAUGGUCAGUGUGAGGUGACAAUGGCACAUACAAAGUUUGGUGCAAAUAUGUCAAAGCUUUGCCGAGAUACAGCCUCAGAUGUAUUUUGGCAUCUUACGAACAAAUUCGUUGAUGCGCUAAACGAAAACCGUUUCGUAUAUCAACACAAAAUCCAUAACUUUUUGUCAGCUUGGUCUGAAGAUGAUCCGAACCAAAUUUGGUGAAAAUCGGACUAACGGUCUAGGAGGAG
Molecule: long non-coding RNA, 576 nt
Organism: Cyprinus carpio carpio
Lineage: Eukaryota; Metazoa; Chordata; Actinopteri; Cypriniformes; Cyprinidae
Source: Ensembl